This is a non-coding RNA of Schistosoma mansoni, 48 nucleotides long. The record is from Rfam. NCBI's taxonomy places the organism in Eukaryota, Metazoa, Platyhelminthes, Trematoda, Strigeidida, Schistosomatidae.
AUCCAGCUGACGAGUCCUGAAUAGAACGAAACACGCGUCAAACUGGAU